UUAGAGGUAGUUUAUCAAAACAUUAAAUUGCAAGUUUAAAGAUAUAAUUAUUUUGUCCACUAGA
RNAcentral lists this transfer RNA (64 nucleotides) under Podura aquatica (water springtail). Its description in RNAcentral is "tRNA-Cys". The record is from RNAcentral. Lineage: Eukaryota; Metazoa; Arthropoda; Collembola; Poduromorpha; Poduridae.